AGCGAACGCUGGCGGCAGGCUUAACACAUGCAAGUCGAGCGGGCAUAGCAAUAUGUCAGCGGCAGACGGGCGAGUAACGCGUGGGAACGUACCUUUUGGUUCGGAACAACUGAGGGAAACUGCAGCUAAUACCGGAUAAGCCCUUACGGGGACAGAUUUAUCGCCGAAAGAUCGGCCCGGGUCUGAUUAGCUAGUUGGUGAGGUAAUGGCUCACCAAGGCGACGAUCAGUAGCUGGUCUGAGAGGAUGAUCAGCCACAUUGGGACUGAGACACGGCCCAAACUCCUACGGGAGGCAGCAGUGGGGAAUAUUGGACAAUGGGCGCAAGCCUGAUCCAGCCAUGUCGCGUGAGUGAUGAAGGCCCUAGGGUUGUAAAGCUCUUUUGUGCGGGAAGAUAAUGACGGUACCGCAUGAAUAAGCCCCGGCUAACUUCGUGCCAGCCGCCGCGGUAA
RNAcentral lists this ribosomal RNA (451 nucleotides) under uncultured bacterium. Its description in RNAcentral is "partial 16S ribosomal RNA". It matches the Rfam family "Bacterial small subunit ribosomal RNA", at positions 29 to 523 of the family's 1533-position model. The record is from RNAcentral.